RNAcentral lists this long non-coding RNA (643 nucleotides) under Mus caroli (Ryukyu mouse). RNAcentral's name for it is "predicted gene 44941 (MGP_CAROLIEiJ_G0003891.1)". Lineage: Eukaryota; Metazoa; Chordata; Mammalia; Rodentia; Muridae. The record is from RNAcentral.
UAAAUUGCUAAAAUCUGGGCUGGUGAGAUGACUCAGUGGGUAAGAACAUUUGCUGCCAAGCCUGAUUUUGAUUCCCAGAACUCACUGCUGGAAGCAGAGAAUGAAUCCCUUAAGAUGUCCUGACUUCCACACCUGGCAAAUGUACACACGUACACAAACCAAUGUAAAAAUCCAAACCAAACCAAACCUCCAAUUUGUACCCCAGACACAUAACAUUUAAAGCAGUAAGGAUCCUGUACUGUUUGGGUAUGAGUGUGUGUGUACCAGGGCAGUUGUCAUUGGCAGCCAGAAGAGCAUCAGAUACCCUAAAGCUGUCAUAGGCAGUUGUGACUUGCCCAGUGCAGAUGCUNCGAACUGAACUCAGGUCCCUUAACUGCCAAAUUAUCUUCCCAGCCCCAAAUCUGGAACUGUUGACAUGGGCUAGGGAAUUUACACUAAUGUAAUUACAAAGAUUUAGUUACAUUUGUGUGUGUUAAUACAGAGAUCUCUGUUAUUACAGAGAUUAGAGAGAUAGCUCAGAGGGCUUUGAUUAAAAUGUGCACUCAAAUACAAAAAUCAGCAAAUGUUAUCUUUUCCCUGCAUUGGAGUCUUGACAGAACUUUACAGUAGCAAACAGGCUAUACACAAGACAGAUUAUUUUCUG